RNAcentral lists this ribosomal RNA (253 nucleotides) under uncultured bacterium. RNAcentral's name for it is "partial 16S ribosomal RNA". It matches the Rfam family "Bacterial small subunit ribosomal RNA", at positions 525 to 776 of the family's 1533-position model. The record is from RNAcentral.
ACGUAGGGCGCGAGCGUUGUCCGGAUUUAUUGGGCGUAAAGAGCUCGUAGGCCGUUCGGUAAGUCAGAUGUGAAAACUCCAGGCUCAACUUGGAGACGCCAUCUGAUACUGCCGUGACUAGAGUCCGGUAGGGGAGCACGGAAUUCCUGGUGUAGCGGUGAAAUGCGCAGAUAUCAGGAGGAACACCAGCGGCGAAGGCGGUGCUCUGGGCCGGUACUGACGCUGAGGAGCGAAAGCGUGGGGAGCAAACAGG